Molecule: long non-coding RNA, 1239 nt
Filed under: Heterocephalus glaber (naked mole-rat)
Lineage: Eukaryota; Metazoa; Chordata; Mammalia; Rodentia; Bathyergidae
Description: lncRNA (ENSHGLG00000041753.1)
Source: RNAcentral
AUGCAAAUAUCAGAGUGGUAGGAAGUGUAUGGGGGAGGUGCCCCCAGCAGAAAACACUUGGUUGAAAAGUUGAUCACUGUGCCUUGGUGUGAAGGGCAUGAAGAUGACAGACGAAGAGACAUAAGGUCUGAUGAAAUUCAGAGGCAGUUCAUUCCAAAGAUCCAAGGACAGACAGAAAUGUGACAGCAGACACGUGGCAGCAGGCUAAGUGGGUGGAAUGAAGAGACACGUCUUUGUUUAAAGUUCAUUUGAGACUGGUGUCAGUAGAACAGCAGCGAGAGGAAGGCGGAAAAACGUUGGCAGGAAAAGCGCUGAUCUUCACAUCACCCGUGGGGGAGCCUGCUGCAAAUCCAAACAUGUCCUUCAAAACUCACAUGCACAACUCUGUGUUUCUGCAGACAGCUCUGCAUGUUGGAGAAAACCGUGAUCGAGGUGCCAUGCUGCAAGCAAUGAUCUGGCCCUCACCAGAUGCCAACCUACCAGCACCUUCAUCUUGGACUUCCAGCCUCCAGAACCAUGAGAAAUCAAUUUCUAUUAUCCAUAAAUUACCCAGUCAAUGGGAUUUUCUUAUAACACCAGAAAUGAAUUAAGACAGCCCCAGAAGUUCCUAUAAGUCCAUAAAGAAUCCAGAACUUACUUUUUGAGCCUCGGUUUAUUCAUCUGCAAAAUGGGAGACAUUAGCCUCUACAGGAAAUGUAGGGCUUUUUUCUCUUCUCACUUCUCUCCUCAGCCUGCAGUCCUGGCAGUCAGCCUGCAGGCAGGCAGAACUGCUGGCCUAUGGUGCUUGCAAUAGGUUGGGUUAGGUUGACAAGGGUGGUGUGUCCUUACCUCUCUCCGUGGAGACAGUACUCAUGUUUUUCUUUGCUCUGGGCCCUCGGGACCACUGUAAGCUCUUCUCUCCUUCUGAGCUCACUGCCAGCUGCAGACCGCUCUCUUCUCCUUACCUCCUCCCUGUGCAUACUCACCAUCCCCUUCCUGUGCUCUCAGUCACUUGCUCAGGCUAACCACCCUUGGUCACCACGAGAAAGUAACUCUGAGGCAUGAGUCUGUUGUCAACUCUCAGAGAAGCAUCUCAGUGCUGUCCUCCCUCCCCGUGCUGUGCACUAACUAGUUCCCUCCAGGCCUCCUCCAGCAGCUCUUUCAAGCCCCAGACACCCCUUCUUUCCACCUGUUCCUCGUUGAUCCCCCACCCUCAUCAUGAUCCAUUCCCAGCAAGCUCACAAAGACACUGGUGAGUAC